This 233-nucleotide long non-coding RNA is filed under the name Capsicum annuum. Its description in RNAcentral is "long non-coding RNA (CANN_LNC014929)". The record is from RNAcentral. Lineage: Eukaryota; Viridiplantae; Streptophyta; Magnoliopsida; Solanales; Solanaceae.
UACUAUGGCCGAUGAAAAAAUUUGCCGUCGAUUUUCGAGGCCUCCACAAUAAAAGGACGGACAUUACGUAUACAAAUACGUAAUAAAAAUAAACAACGGGCAAUGACUAAACUUUUAUAACACUUCGACACCACAAAAGGUUUUAUGAUUCGUAUCUUUGCAACACGAUUUAGGAUGGCCAAUUAGUCGAGCAACCACUUCGUAGCCAUGGCGAGUCUAAAACUUAAUUCGAG